Molecule: ribosomal RNA, 264 nt
Filed under: uncultured Tomentellopsis
Lineage: Eukaryota; Fungi; Basidiomycota; Agaricomycetes; Thelephorales; Thelephoraceae
Description: partial 28S ribosomal RNA
Rfam family: Eukaryotic large subunit ribosomal RNA
Source: RNAcentral
UCGACCUCAAAUCAGGUAGGACUACCCGCUGAACUUAAGCAUAUCAAUAAGCGGAGGAAAAGAAACUAACAAGGAUUCCCCUAGUAACUGCGAGUGAAGCGGGAAAAGCUCAAAUUUAAAAUCUGGCGGCCUCCGGUCGUCCGAGUUGUAGUCUGGAGAAGUGUUUUCCGUGCUGGACCGUGUACAAGUCCCUUGGAACAGGGCGUCAUAGARGGUGAGAAUCCGUCUUUGACACGGACUGCCAGUGCUCUGUGAUGCGCUCUC